Molecule: ribosomal RNA, 254 nt
Filed under: uncultured bacterium
Lineage: Bacteria
Description: partial 16S ribosomal RNA
Rfam family: Bacterial small subunit ribosomal RNA
Source: RNAcentral
CACGUAGGGUGCGAGCGUUGUCCGGAAUUAUUGGGCGUAAAGAGCUCGUAGGCGGUGUGUCGCGUCGGCCGUGAAAACCUGCAGCUUAACUGUGGGCUUGCGGUCGAUACGGGCAUCACUGGAGUUCGGCAGGGGAGACUGGAAUUCCUGGUGUAGCGGUGAAAUGCGCAGAUAUCAGGAGGAACACCGGUGGCGAAGGCGGGUCUCUGGGCCGGAACUAACGCUAAGGAGCGAAAGCGUGGGGAGCGAACAGG